This is a long non-coding RNA of Gorilla gorilla gorilla (western lowland gorilla), 456 nucleotides long. RefSeq lists it as uncharacterized. The record is from RefSeq and is a predicted model, not a curated record. Lineage: Eukaryota; Metazoa; Chordata; Mammalia; Primates; Hominidae. The transcript has 3 exons.
AAAUAGGCAUGUGGUGACUUCAGUAACAGAGAGGACUGCAGGGCUGACCUAAGCUUAGUAGCCUGGCUUCUCCGGGAGCUGAGGGUGAGCCUCAUGCCCACUCCAUCUCCCUCUUUGUUGUGGAUAAGGCAGGGUCAUCAAGACAGGAGGAUAUGAGGCAGAAUCACCACACAAGAUGAGGAAAUGGAGGAUGAAAGGCAGAGUAGGUUGCCUAAGGUGAUAAGAGGAGGAAAUAACGGCGCGAGAAGUCGAACCCACUCCAGAUCCGCCCAUGCAAGACACAAGAAGCCACAGGAGGAGGAAGGGGCAGGCGGGAACUUAGAGCACCUUGGCGUGCCCAGCCCGGCGCCUACUCCCUCUCCUCUGCGCCGCUGGAGGCCUCGAGUUCGUGUCCUCUCGGCGCCUGCCUGGCUCCCCUUCCGAGGCCGCAGCGCCCUGCCAUGCUGGCCUCCCCGC